GCUGUCUGUCCUCCUGAUCUUCCCUGUGACAUUCCGUACUGCUCCAAAGAAAGUGAGAUCCCCAGAUUCCCUACCCCUAGGCCCCUUUCUCCCUUGGUGCCCCAGGAGCCCUAUGCUUCCCUCUCCACUUCCCCUUCCCUCCUCCCACCAUGCCAGGUCUUGGAGAAGACUGGGGAGGGGUGUGGGGGCCUGCAGGCCCAGGGGCACACGCAGUUCCUCCUCCUCCUAUCUGUGUAUCAAGGGCAACCCCCCACCCCCCCGAAGCCUCAGUUUCCUCUGUCAUUAGAAGGGGGAAAUACACCUCUCACAGUGCUGCCAGCAGAUUUCAGUUCCCAGGGAACUCAGACCUUCCUUCCCAAGCCAGGACUCGAUCCCUGGGCAGGGAUGAGACUCUUGGCAAGGCCAAAGAAGGGGCAGGUCACCGCCAACAAACGCCAAUGCCUGAAAGAGAAAGAAAGAGAUGGGGACCUCAGUUGCCUGGCCACCAGACACGUCCUUGCUUUCCCCAGGAAUGGCCUCCUCUGCAAGCCUCUUCUCCAUCUGCUCUGCCCACCCCAGGCUGAGAGCUGCUGUGUGCUCAGGGAGGUCUCCUUUGCCCAGAUCACUUCAGUACACGGUAGGCUUCUAGAGGCCGUCUGGGGCUGGAGGAUGCGACUCUGGCCCUGGGAGGGCCUUGCUAGCUAGGGGCCUUAGGGAGCGUGGGCUGACAUGGCGGAAGAGCAAGACGGUGGGGGAGGGGACGGUAGGAAUGCGUCUCUCCCACUCUUCCCUGUCUCCAAAUACAGAGCUUGCGGGGUGCCCUCAGGUAGGGGCAGGGGAACACGAGGGACAGCAGGAGCAGGCAGAGACCAGUCCUCUGGUCCCAAAGACAGGGCAGGAGGCAGUUUUGCCAAGGGCUGUGCAGGAGCUGCAGAGAGCCCCAGGGCUGAGGGCUGAGAAGAGAACAGACGUGGGGCUCGGCCUAGAAGAGAACCAUCCGCCCUAUGCCCACCGACUGGGGGGAAGGAGAGGGGUGGGGACAUCGUUGCUCCUCUAGGGCCUUCCUGGGGCCACCUCCAGCCCAUUACCCUCCAUUCCCCAGACUGGGAAGUGGGCGGGAGGGGUCCGCCCCUCACCCUAUCCUGGAAUGAUGACUGGAGAGGAGGGGAGAACCUGAGGCUGCCUUUCCUUUCCCCAGCUGGGCUCCACAGCUCUUUGGGCUGGUUUGCCCCGGUGCCUUCCAUAUUUCCCCCCGACCGCCAAGGCGCCCCGACCUCUGGAGGGCAGAGCCACCGCCCCUCCCCCAUUCCAACCUGUCGCCUCCUACCUUUCUGCUCGGGGCCUGGAAAGUCAAGUCGCCGCAGCAAUUCCCUCCUUCUGGUUUCCCCCUCUUUGGCCAAUGUGAGGCAACAGGUAGGCCGAGCCUAGGUAGUUUCUGGAGCCCGAUGGUAGGGGCCUGCUCAGUGCGUUUCUGCGCGAUCCGGGGUCUCCGGGUUGAGACCGCGGCCGGGCCAGGGCUGGGCCUUCGUGCUUGGGCG
RNAcentral lists this long non-coding RNA (1517 nucleotides) under Papio anubis (olive baboon). Its description in RNAcentral is "lncRNA (ENSPANG00000037806.1)". The record is from RNAcentral. Lineage: Eukaryota; Metazoa; Chordata; Mammalia; Primates; Cercopithecidae.